ACUCAAAUGAAUAGACGGGGGCCCGCACAAGCAGCGGAGCAUGUGGUUUAAUUCGAAGCAACGCGAAGAACCUUACCAGGUCUUGACAUCGAUGGAACCUGUAGAGAUACGGGGUGCCCUUCGGGGCCCUGAAGACAGGUGGUGCAUGGUUGUCGUCAGCUCGUGUCGUGAGAUGUUGGGUUAAGUCCCGCAACGAGCGCAACCCUUGUUGUCAGUUACUAACGCGUAAAGGCGAGGACUCUGACGAGACUGCCGGGGACAACUCGGAGGAAGGUGGGGACGACGUCAAAUCAUCAUGCCCCUUAUGACCUGGGCUACACACGUGCUACAAUGGCCACUACAAAGAGGAGCGAGGUCGCAAGACGGAGCGGAUCUGAGAAAAGUGGUCUCAGUUCAGAUCGUGGGCUGCAACCCGCCCACGUGAAGUCGGAGUUGCUAGUAAUCGCGAAUCAGCAUGUCGCGGUGAAUACGUUCCCGGGCCUUGUACACACCGCCCGU
This 498-nucleotide ribosomal RNA is filed under the name uncultured bacterium. RNAcentral describes it as "bacterial SSU rRNA". It matches the Rfam family "Bacterial small subunit ribosomal RNA", at positions 899 to 1397 of the family's 1533-position model. The record is from RNAcentral.